Peromyscus maniculatus bairdii (prairie deer mouse) is the source of this 533-nucleotide long non-coding RNA. RefSeq lists it as uncharacterized. The record is from RefSeq and is a predicted model, not a curated record. Lineage: Eukaryota; Metazoa; Chordata; Mammalia; Rodentia; Cricetidae.
CAGUCCGUGAUGGAAGAAGGUAAGGGCAGAAACUCAAGAAGGCGGGCCUCUUGCUGGUCCAUGCAGCAUCACCUCUGACCUGGGAAUUCGCAUAGCCGAAAAAGGACAGCAGAAACCAUGGAGGAAAGGUCAAACUGGACAGCAAGCGCCUCUACCCGCUGAGCCCUCGCACACCUGACCACUGCAACGAGUGCUUGUCACCAUCAGUUUCUCAAACCCCUUCCUGUUGCUGCCGGCGGUUUUUACUACAGCCACGCUCAGAAAGGUCGUGUAUUCUCUCCUUGAAGCAGCUGGAGUGAAGGAGGGUGUUUAGUAAUCUGAACACUCCAGUUUCUAUGAAUAUAUUAGAAGACAUGAUAGAGCCAUCUUUCAUGAGAAGCAUUCAAGGAAGACAUCUCUGGAAUUCCUGUUUUCCUCUUGAAAGUGCCUUUGAAAACCAGUGCGCCACAGACAGCUUUGGGAGGUCUGCCCUGCCCUCUACUGUUCCUCAAAGUAAAUGCAGCCAACAUCCACAUUUACUGUAUGUGCAUGAU